UACGAAGGGGGCUAGCGUUGUUCGGAAUUACUGGGCGUAAAGCGCACGUAGGCGGGUUGUUAAGUCAGGGGUGAAAUCCUGGAGCUCAACUCCAGAACUGCCUUUGAUACUGGCAACCUAGAGACUGGAAGAGGUUAGUGGAAUUCCCAGUGUAGGGGUGAAAUUCGUAGAUAUUGGGAAGAACACCAGUGGCGAAGGCGGCUAACUGGUCCAGCACUGACGCUGAGGUGCGAAAGCGUGGGGAGCAAACAGG
RNAcentral lists this ribosomal RNA (253 nucleotides) under uncultured bacterium. Its description in RNAcentral is "partial 16S ribosomal RNA". It matches the Rfam family "Bacterial small subunit ribosomal RNA", at positions 524 to 776 of the family's 1533-position model. The record is from RNAcentral.